This 236-nucleotide long non-coding RNA is filed under the name Homo sapiens (human). RNAcentral's name for it is "HSALNT0306529". Lineage: Eukaryota; Metazoa; Chordata; Mammalia; Primates; Hominidae. The record is from RNAcentral.
CCUCUUCAGGCCCCCUUUUUUGUUAGAUCACCAACUCCUGAAGAACAGGAACGAUGGUGUCUUUCAUCUUCAGAGCUGUGGUGCCUGGCACACAGUGGGGAGUCAGCAAAUGUUUCCAGCACUCCAUCAGUUCCUCCCUCCCCCCAUUUCUGGGCCCCAUUUGCUAUCAAGUAUAGCAGCUUCUAUGAUGCAUCCUACGACAAAGUGACAUGGGAUAAUGACCAGCCUAUGUUACA